RNAcentral lists this ribosomal RNA (500 nucleotides) under uncultured bacterium. RNAcentral describes it as "partial 16S ribosomal RNA". It matches the Rfam family "Bacterial small subunit ribosomal RNA", at positions 30 to 523 of the family's 1533-position model. The record is from RNAcentral.
AUUGAACGCUGGCGGCAGGCCUAACACAUGCAAGUCGAGCGGAUGACGGGAGCUUGCUCCUUGAUUCAGCGGCGGACGGGUGAGUAAUGCCUAGGAAUCUGCCUGGUAGUGGGGGACAACGUUUCGAAAGGAACGCUAAUACCGCAUACGUCCUACGGGAGAAAGCAGGGGACCUUCGGGCCUUGCGCUAUCAGAUGAGCCUAGGUCGGAUUAGCUAGUUGGGGGGGUAAUGGCUCACCAAGGCGACGAUCCGUAACUGGUCUGAGAGGAUGAUCAGUCACACUGGAACUGAGACACGGUCCAGACUCCUACGGGAGGCAGCAGUGGGGAAUAUUGGACAAUGGGCGAAAGCCUGAUCCAGCCAUGCCGCGUGUGUGAAGAAGGUCUUCGGAUUGUAAAGCACUUUAAGUUGGGAGGAAGGGCAGUAAGUUAAUACCUUGCUGUUUUGACGUUACCGACAGAAUAAGCACCGGCUAACUCUGUGCCAGCCGCCGCAGUAA